AGAUUGAACGCUGGCGGCAUGCCUAACACAUGCAAGUCGAACGGGAGUAGCAAUACUCUAGUGGCGGACGGGUGAGGAAUACGUAGGAAUUUGCCCUUAAGUGGGGGAUAACCCGGGGAAACCCGGAUUAAUACCGCAUGACCUCGAAAGAGCAAAGUGGGGGAUCGCAAGACCUCACGCUUUUGGAGAAGCCUACGUCGGAUUAGCUAGUUGGUGAGGUAAUGGCUCACCAAGGCGACGAUCCGUAACUGGUCUGAGAGGAUGAUCAGUCACACCGGAACUGAGACACGGUCCGGACUCCUACGGGAGGCAGCAGUGGGGAAUAUUGGACAAGUGGGCGCAAGCCUGAU
Molecule: ribosomal RNA, 350 nt
Filed under: uncultured soil bacterium
Lineage: Bacteria
Description: bacterial SSU rRNA
Rfam family: Bacterial small subunit ribosomal RNA
Source: RNAcentral